ACUCUUAGCCGCUGUUAUAAAGGUGGGAAGGACAAGAAAGGUGGGCAUGGUGGGAGGCACGAGGAGUAGAGAGUGCCUGGAUGCUGGAACGUGUGUGGAGAAGCUGGAAGAGGGAAGCAGAGUCACACGGUCAGAUUCUUAGGUCAUGCUGGGAAGUGUGGGCUUUAUCUGGAUGCUGAACAUCAACCAGAACAUUUAAAGGGAAUAAAUCACACAAAAUGCAAGAAUGCAAGCAUAAAUUAAAGCCUCUAUUUGUACGGGAUCUUCUGGAGGACAGAAUGGCAAAACUGAACCCUUCACGGCCAGUGAAUUGAAGACAUGAAGAGUAAAGAGUCAGGUUCAGCUUCCAGAUGAACACCUCUUCCCACACAGUGUUGGGUCUGGAUUGGCUGCCGCAUGAAGAGAGGUACUUGGUAACCUGACCUUCUUUAACCUCCUCUUCCAGUUGAGUCACCUGUGAAGACACCAGAGGAGGGAAAGGAGCACUCUGCACAAAACCACACAGUAGACAGCAAGAAGCAAGGCAGAUCCAAGCUCUGCCUUCAUAAAGGUCACUUCGAGGGGAUGUCACAGUUGAGGCAAAGGAAAACAGGCCACUGUUAGACUACAUGUGAACAGCAGAAAACCAACCUGUAGCACGCAAAGACCUAUAUAAUUCAGCAAUGUUCGGCACCAGCUUAAUCACAAGCCCCAUGCGUGGCCUGCUGGUCUGAGAACCUGAACCUCAGGGAGACUGCCAGCUCUCCCAGAAAUCCUGGGAGCCCAACUAUCUUACAUUCUUAAUAUAAGCUCCUCCAGCUCCAGAGUGGAUACAAAUCUUCCUUGAGUUGGAAGUUAUUUCCUGAGCCUUUAACAUUUGACAAAAUACCAAAACUGACUUUUGGAUAAGCACUGUUGUCAACUCAAGAUGAUGAAAAUACCACACCACAUAGUUCUGGAGUUUCCCGACACUAACAAAGGUUGUUCACAAACAUUACCCAUAUUGCACCCUCACACACCCCCCUUUUGUGGACAGGAAACUUCAGGAAGACAAAGUAACUUCCGCAUAGCCAAAGGAGCAGAGCCUAGUUCUCCGUGAUCUACCAAUUUUCUCAUAUUCUCUGAACUGCCCAGGCUUGUGAGCCACUGGGGAACGGAAUUACCACCGAGCCCCUCCGGAAAUGGAGGGCGUCCUGACUCAUUUUUCUCAUGCCUUUCCCUAAGCACAAGAGGAAAAAAAACAAAACAGGUCAACAGGAACAAUUUCCAACUCACUGUUACAAGGUAGGGAAAUUUCCACAUUACAUGUAUCUAGAGGCACACCAGACAAAUGUAUGACAGACCAGCAGACCAGCCAAACAAACUCCACAAAGAAGUAAAAGGAGAUGCUCCUUUCAGCACCUCUUGUGUGCCAGGCACUGCACUUCAUACUCUCACAUACACGAUCACAUUUAAGUUUUCCAACUGUGACGUAGCUCUUACCAUCCCCAUUUUAUAAUUAUAAAAACUGAGGGCACAGAGGCUCAGUGACUUGCCCUAGGCCAUUCAGUGAAGCCAAUAUCUAAACCCCAGAUGUUUCUAAACACUAUGCUUUAUUCUAGACAGUACACGGUCGUUGGUCAGGAAACACGAGUUCCUUUGAGAAAGGUAUGCUGGAGACAUAAAAUUAUAACGAAUUAGUAUUACCUAGAACAUACACAGCUGCAGUUCCAUUCCCUCAGCUCACCGCAGAUCCAAAAUGCCCAGCUUCAUUUCCAAUUUCCCCUGAGCCUCCAUCACUGACUCCUUAGAAAUUUCUAUUAGUCUCUUAUCUCCUUUCCCAUUGAAAAAGAAUACCUUCCUCCUAAAAGUCAUAUUUUUCCAUAAGUGACCUGAAAGACAACUAGAAAGCAAGAGAACUCUUAUGAAAUCGACAAUUUUCCAUCCUCUCAAAGAUUAAUUCACCCACGAGUCAACCAUGAGUGUCACAAUUUCAAAAACCAUUCAUUUUUUAACCCAACAAUUAUCCUGAUCAAAAUAAGUCUCACACAAGAUUCUGAUCUUAAAUACUGAGUGCAAGUGGCAUUGAUUAAAAGCCUUAAACUUAUCCUUUUAUUGGC
This is a long non-coding RNA of Pongo pygmaeus (Bornean orangutan), 2078 nucleotides long. RefSeq lists it as uncharacterized. The record is from RefSeq and is a predicted model, not a curated record. The transcript is spliced from 3 exons. Lineage: Eukaryota; Metazoa; Chordata; Mammalia; Primates; Hominidae.